RNAcentral lists this ribosomal RNA (218 nucleotides) under uncultured bacterium. Its description in RNAcentral is "partial 16S ribosomal RNA". It matches the Rfam family "Bacterial small subunit ribosomal RNA", at positions 122 to 334 of the family's 1533-position model. The record is from RNAcentral.
UAACCUGCCUCUUAGCGGGGGAUAACUAUUGGAAACGAUAGCUAAUACCGCAUAAAAGUACGACAUUGCAUGAUGUUGACUUGAAAGGUGCAAUUGCAUCACUAAGAGAUGGACCUGCGUUGUAUUAGCUAGUUGGUGAGGUAACGGCUCACCAAGGCGACGAUACAUAGCCGACCUGAGAGGGUGAUCGGCCACACUGGGACUGAGACACGGCCCAG